This 27-nucleotide small RNA is filed under the name Bombyx mori (domestic silkworm). Its description in RNAcentral is "ovarian small RNA-16892". Lineage: Eukaryota; Metazoa; Arthropoda; Insecta; Lepidoptera; Bombycidae. The record is from RNAcentral.
GCGCGCGCACUGCUUCUCAAGAUCCUA